RNAcentral lists this ribosomal RNA (1330 nucleotides) under uncultured bacterium. RNAcentral's name for it is "bacterial SSU rRNA". It matches the Rfam family "Bacterial small subunit ribosomal RNA", at positions 28 to 1381 of the family's 1533-position model. The record is from RNAcentral.
GACGAACGCUGGCGGCGUGCUUAACACAUGCAAGUCGAACGGACCCUUUGGGGUUAGUGGCGAACGGGUGAGUAACACGUGGGUGAUCUGCCCUGCACUUUGGGAUAAGCCUGGGAAACUGGGUCUAAUACCGGAUAGGACUACGCACUGCAUGGUGUGUGGUGGAAAGCUUUUGCGGUGUGGGAUGGGCCCGCGGCCUAUCAGCUUGUUGGUGGGGUGAUGGCCUACCAAGGCGACGACGGGUAGCCGGCCUGAGAGGGUGACCGGCCACACUGGGACUGAGAUACGGCCCAGACUCCUACGGGAGGCAGCAGUGGGGAAUAUUGCACAAUGGGCGCAAGCCUGAUGCAGCGACGCCGCGUGAGGGAUGACGGCCUUCGGGUUGUAAACCUCUUUCGCCAGGGACGAAGCGCAAGUGACGGUACCUGGAGAAGAAGGACCGGCCAACUACGUGCCAGCAGCCGCGGUAAUACGUAGGGUCCGAGCGUUGUCCGGAAUUACUGGGCGUAAAGAGCUCGUAGGUGGUUUGUCGCGUUGUUCGUGAAAACUCACAGCUUAACUGUGGGCGUGCGGGCGAUACGGGCAGACUGGAGUACUGCAGGGGAGACUGGAAUUCCUGGUGUAGCGGUGUAAUGCGCAGAUAUCAGGAGGAACACCGGUGGCGAAGGCGGGUCUCUGGGCAGUAACUGACGCUGAGGAGCGAAAGCGUGGGGAGCGAACAGGAUUAGAUACCCUGGUAGUCCACGCCGUAAACGGUGGGUACUAGGUGUGGGUUUCCUUCCUUGGGAUCCGUGCCGUAGCUAACGCAUUAAGUACCCCGCCUGGGGAGUACGGCCGCAAGGCUAAAACUCAAAGGAAUUGACGGGGGCCCGCACAAGCGGCGGAGCAUGUGGAUUAAUUCGAUGCAACGCGAAGAACCUUACCUGGGUUUGACAUGCACAGGACGCCGGCAGAGAUGUCGGUUCCCUUGUGGCCUGUGUGCAGGUGGUGCAUGGCUGUCGUCAGCUCGUGUCGUGAGAUGUUGGGUUAAGUCCCGCAACGAGCGCAACCCUUGUCUCAUGUUGCCAGCACGUUAUGGUGGGGACUCGUGAGAGACUGCCGGGGUCAACUCGGAGGAAGGUGGGGAUGACGUCAAGUCAUCAUGCCCCUUAUGUCCAGGGCUUCACACAUGCUACAAUGGCCGGUACAAAGGGCUGCGAUGCCGUGAGGUGGAGCGAAUCCUUUCAAAGCCGGUCUCAGUUCGGAUCGGGGUCUGCAACUCGACCCCGUGAAGUCGGAGUCGCUAGUAAUCGCAGAUCAGCAACGCUGCGGUGAAUACGUUCCCGGGCCU